UACGGAGGAUCCGAGCGUUAUCCGGAUUUAUUGGGUUUAAAGGGUGCGUAGGCGGACUUAUAAGUCAGCGGUGAAAGUUUGCAGCUUAACUGUAAAAUUGCCGUUGAAACUGUUAGUCUUGAGUGUAAAUGAGGUAGGCGGAAUGUGUUGUGUAGCGGUGAAAUGCGUAGAUAUCUGGAGGAACACCAAUGGCGAAGGCAGCUUACUGGACGACAACUGACGCUGAGGCACGAAAGCGUGGGUAGCGAAAGGG
RNAcentral lists this ribosomal RNA (253 nucleotides) under uncultured bacterium. RNAcentral's name for it is "partial 16S ribosomal RNA". It matches the Rfam family "Bacterial small subunit ribosomal RNA", at positions 524 to 776 of the family's 1533-position model. The record is from RNAcentral.